This 253-nucleotide ribosomal RNA is filed under the name uncultured bacterium. RNAcentral describes it as "partial 16S ribosomal RNA". It matches the Rfam family "Bacterial small subunit ribosomal RNA", at positions 524 to 776 of the family's 1533-position model. The record is from RNAcentral.
UACAGAGGUCUCAAGCGUUGUUCGGAUUCAUUGGGCGUAAAGGGUGCGUAGGUGGCGGGGUAAGUCAGGUGUGAAAUUUCGGAGCUUAACUCCGAAACUGCAUCUGAUACUGCCUUGCUUGAGGACUGGAGAGGAGACUGGAAUUCACGGUGUAGCAGUGAAAUGCGUAGAUAUCGUGAGGAAGACCAGUGGCGAAGGCGGGUCUCUGGACAGAUCCUGACACUGAGGCACGAAGGCCAGGGGAGCAAACGGG